Vicia faba (fava bean) is the source of this 207-nucleotide non-coding RNA. NCBI's taxonomy places the organism in Eukaryota, Viridiplantae, Streptophyta, Magnoliopsida, Fabales, Fabaceae. The record is from the annotation of a GenBank genome assembly.
AUGAGAAAAUGGGAAGAAUUCCAUCAACCUUCAAACUUCGAGUUUCAUUCUAAAUGGUCUUUGGCAUUGACUGUGACUAAAGGGGUUUGGCCAAAAUCCCUGAGUGUAGGGGAGGGCUACGUCUCGAUGGCGAUGACGGGGCUUGAAGAAAACUGUGCGGCGGCAGAAGCCACUACAACGGUGGUGUGGGUCGGCGUAAGGGAGUAG